CUGUGAGUGAGUAUAUAGUAUUGUCUCCUGUCCUUCGGCAUAUGUGUGUGUUUGUAUGUGUUGCUGACGCUUCAUGCUUUGAAAGAGGCACUUGCAUUCUUCCGCUAUGUCUGUCACAUACUCAGAGAAUGUUGCCCCAGACUCUGGUGACGCCCCAUCUAAGAAUUCGGUUGUGGUGACACCGAAAGAGGCUAAAGUGGCAUCCAAAGACACAGAGGCCAGAGUGAAAAUCACAGAACCAGAGGCGGCCGUGCCCAUACCUGCUGCUGAAGCCCCUCAGCCACAAACUGUAGUAAUUGUGGUGACUGAACUAGAACCUGUAGAGGGUGAGGUCACAGACCCACAGCCUUUAGAAAACGGGCACAGUGAACCAGAGCCAACACAGGCUGAGAAGCGGGUCGAGGUAAAAGAAGAGCAGCCCGGCACUUCAAAAGUUCCUGCACCUUCAAUGAAGAAGUCUGCUGAGACAAAAGCUACCCCUAAAAAAGGUAUUGUUUGA
This 499-nucleotide long non-coding RNA is filed under the name Sinocyclocheilus grahami. RNAcentral's name for it is "lncRNA (ENSSGRG00000027217.1)". Lineage: Eukaryota; Metazoa; Chordata; Actinopteri; Cypriniformes; Cyprinidae. The record is from RNAcentral.